GCAAAUUUGAGGCCAGGAGACGUUAGCUUAGCUGAGCACGAAGCCUCGAGUUUUAAUGCAACGAUGAGUCCAAGGAAAGAUUUUAGUAUGUUUCAUUUACCAAAGAAGAAGCAGAGAGACAGUCAGCUGAUCGACUGUUUCACGAUGGAUGCAGAGCAGUAAAAAGCUGGUGAGGUCUCUGACCUGCAGCAGAGUAAAAGUCAGGAUGCUCGAGCUCGGAACAAGUGGCUGAAAAUCCUCUAAAGCUGACUUGGUUUGGAUCCUGGCAGAAACGCUGUGAGCCUUUACAGAGACGCACCUUUUUCUGCUCAGCUUAGCAAACAGCUUCAUGGCUCCACAUUUAGCAGAGCGAUGUGAGAGUGGUCCGACCCCCUCAAGCUGUGAAGGAAUCAAAUGUUAAACUAUGCAAAACAGGACAGUAUUGGGCACAUGCACAAUAUGAAGAAGCUGCACAUGAAUUAGCUUUAAAGAGACUAAAAAGUAAUGAAGAGAGGAGAAUGAAUGUGAAGAAAUGUUUUAGUUUCACUAUAUUUCUUUGAGAUAUUGUUCAUGUUUUUAUUUAUUUGUAUUUUCAUGUGAGGUAAUGAUGCAGAUUUGAUCCCUUUGAAGAGAUUUUUAAAGCUGUUUUUGUCAAACUGUCAGUUUCUGCUGGAUAAAGGUGUAAAGCAGGGGUGUCAGACUCAGUUUGCAUUGUGGCCACAUACAGCCCACCCUGUGUUAAAAGGCCCGGACCAGUGAAAGUGGCCUUUCUGUCAGCGUAAAGAAGCUUAAGUACAUAUUUAAUCCCUGACAUGUGUUCAUAUGAGACCAAGAAGGGCAGUCUGCACAGUACAGCUCAGUUUUUCUACGUGAUAAAUAAAAGCAGCUGCAGGAAAGAAAGAAACCUGCCAGCCUGACUCUUUGGGCUUAAAUGUUCAGAGAGCUCAUUCCUCACACUGUACUUAUAAAACACCAAGUUUUUGUUAAUUCACAGAAAACUUUUACUGUAGUCUCAUUAUUGAAAAAAGAAAUUUUCUGCCCUCAAACUGAUUUUCUGUUAUUUUAUUUCUGUGUUAUAGUAUGAAUGUGGAUGGUGGACGUCUUUAUCAGUAAGAAAAGCUGCAAACUUACGGAAAUACAGUUAAAAGGGCAAAAUUUAUGCCUUCCUUCACUUGUUCCACCGGCCGAAUUAGAGUCUUUGCUGGGCCCCGAGCCUCCUGUUUGACACCCCUGAUAUAAAGACACCUGUGAACUUUAAAAUGUGACUGUAUGACUUAAUGUGGUCUAGAUGUACCGUCAGAGCUUUGUUUUUAUUUCUGUAGAGAGUUCAGUGAUAAUGUGAAAGAGUUUUGUGCUUAUGUGAACUCAUGUCUCCCUUCAGUCUGACAGAUUCAUUUAAUUUUAAAUUGUGAAAGCCUCCCUGACUCCUGUGCGGCUGCUCGUCUCACC
Astatotilapia calliptera (eastern happy) is the source of this 1428-nucleotide long non-coding RNA. The record is from Ensembl. NCBI's taxonomy places the organism in Eukaryota, Metazoa, Chordata, Actinopteri, Cichliformes, Cichlidae.